Long non-coding RNA from Ictalurus punctatus (channel catfish), 604 nucleotides. The record is from Ensembl. Lineage: Eukaryota; Metazoa; Chordata; Actinopteri; Siluriformes; Ictaluridae.
GGCAAGGGAACUGAUAGCAGUAUUGUUAUGCCUUUUUUGUUCUAUAUAUGUGCUAUACUGAUGUCAGACCUCUACUUUAAAAUAAGGACCCUAACACAUGAGAGUAUUGAUUUAGCCUUUCAGAUCGUUUAUAACUAUUCUUAAUUCUCAUGUCUAGAAGAAACCUCUGCAAUUUCAAUUAAACACAAGGUCUGUUUUUCAACAUCUGUUUAUUCAUGUAGGCGAGUCCCCUAACACAAUUCAGACUUUUUGGUAUUUCUCAAAUUCCAGGACAGUUCUUUUGGUAUGUAGCCUUUGUUUUGUGGCUGGAAAAUCAUGUAUGCCUAAACUUCUAGCUCUUUUUGUUUCAGUAGAAAGAAACUCAGACCGGCCCCUUUUCACCACAACUGAGUGCAGGCUGGUUUUGUCUCACAGACUGUACAAGUUGAUGACAUCCUGAGGGAUGCCUCAUAGCAUGGUUAAGUGAUUAUCAGCAACAGCAGUGUCAGCUCAGCAAACUCUGUCAUAAAACAGAUGGUGUGAUCCAAAAGUUCUCCAAGGAGAUCACAUGAUCUUGACAUGGGGAUGCAUCACAAGGGAUAUACUACAAUUCAGUCAGCAGCAG